RNAcentral lists this ribosomal RNA (428 nucleotides) under uncultured bacterium. Its description in RNAcentral is "bacterial SSU rRNA". It matches the Rfam family "Bacterial small subunit ribosomal RNA", at positions 355 to 775 of the family's 1533-position model. The record is from RNAcentral.
UGGGGAAUAUUGCGCAAUGGGGGAAACCCUGACGCAGCGACGCCGCGUGGGUGAUGAAGGCCUUCGGGUUGUAAAGCCCUGUCGGCUGGGAACAAGUUAGACGUGCUCAUACCACGUUUGAUUGAGUGUACCAGCAAAGGAAGCACCGGCUAACCCUGUGCCAGCAGCCGCGGUAAUACAGGGGGUGCUAGCGUUGUUCGGAAUUACUGGGCGUAAAGGGCGCGUAGGCGGUUGCGCAAGUCAGAAGUGAAAUCCCGGAGCUUAACUCCGGAAUUGCUCCUGAUACUGCGUGGCUAGAGUGCGUUAGAGGAUGGCGGAAUUCCUAGUGUAGAGGUGAAAUUCGUAGAUAUUAGGAAGAACACCGGUGGCGAAGGCGGCCAUCUGGGACGCAACUGACGCUGAGGCGCGAAAGCGUGGGGAUCAAACAG